This is a long non-coding RNA of Phyllostomus discolor (pale spear-nosed bat), 481 nucleotides long. RefSeq lists it as uncharacterized. The transcript is spliced from 3 exons. Lineage: Eukaryota; Metazoa; Chordata; Mammalia; Chiroptera; Phyllostomidae. The record is from RefSeq and is a predicted model, not a curated record.
UUCGUUCAUGUGAUGCCUAUUCAAAUACAGGGUCUGGUGCAAAUAAUAACACCCCUUUUUAAUUACAAAAUCAUAAGCAUGUAAUUCCGUAACAUAACAAUAUCACACUCAAGCAUACCAGAUGACAUUUUAGGUGAAAUGUUCAAAUUAAAACUAUUAAUUAGUACACCCGUAUUAUUACCCUACCAACCACACUCAAGCAGGCCUUACUUCUGCUGAUCUCUGUAUAUCGUCAAAACUGCCUAAAAGAGGAAAAGUUUUUUGUUCUGUAGUUCAUAUGCUUAGAAGUUAGAACUCAGCUGUGAUAAAGUUUGACAUCAAAAUAAGUUACUGAAAUUUUACAGAAAAUGGCGACUAGGAAAACAUAAGAAUUUCUCUUUGUCAUGGGUGCCAACAUCACUGCUACCUUCAAUGCCACUGCCACCAGUAUCAUCAUAACCUCCUAAUGGAUUUUUCAUCUGGGUAGCAGCAUAUUGACUUG